UCGUUGCACUUUUGGAUAUUAAAUUUCAAUGGUAAAUUCAUGCAGCUUGUAUGAAUGACAUUUACAACUAAAUCGGUAUAACUAUGAUAUAUAAUUGAUGUAGUUUUAAAAGUAUACGCUGUAAUCAUUUAUGUUGUGUAAUAGCUGGACUGACUAUCGAAGGUAGGGUGCUUUUUUAAUUCAGUUAAUUGAUACAUUUGUAUAAGGAAUUUGGCGCAACUUCUUUAAUGUUCAUUCGGAUAUAAUACACGCUUUGGAAAUGCUUGUAGAAUAACUAUUUGAAUUGCCACAUUUUACGUUGGUUUUUUUUUUUGUGCUAUCAAAUUGAUCUCUUAGAACCAUUCCCUUUUUAAUAUAUGUUAAGAAUUGUGUAAUGUUCAUAUAUGAAGAUAAAGUAAAUAAACGCAUCACUGAUACCAACAUUGAAAUUUUGUAUUUUUGCCCAGUGGCGCGUUUUGUCAUCAAAGACUCUUCAAUGACCUUUUAUUUUCAAUUAAGAGGAACACCACAGUUCAACUUGCAAUUGAAGAAUCAUUCCCUAAUUUGGAAUCAACAGUAUUGAGCGAAAUAUAAGUGUUUGCUUAACGUCUAAUGACAAAUAUUUUAUGCAUAUUCAAAACAAAAACAAACUAGCAAAUAAAUGCAUGUGCAGCAAGGUGUAUCGACCUGUAUAAAUCUAAUAGUGUAGGACUUAAAGUGGAGAAAUACCGUAAUACCUAUUCCUUUUUCAUCUGAAAAGUUAGGGGAUUGUGCAAUGUUCAAUGUAUAUGGACAAAGUAUAUUGUUACUUUUCUAACUGUUUCCUAAUCCGGCCGAUUUUGUAAAAUUUCUCAAAAAUCUUUAUUUAUUUACCCUUUUUGGACGCACAAAUCAACGCUUUAAAAUGAGAUGUUGACAAAUAUAGUUUAAAUUACAUUGUCACAUGUCUUUUUUAACUUCAUGUUUUGUUAUCUUGAAACCUUGUUUACCAUCAAAUAUGCCCAAUACCGUUUAUGCCAUAAAUGUCUGGAUGAGGUAGACUUUAUUUGUCUUUUCAUGCAGCCAUUCGUUGAACAUUUACAUUUGAACAUGUUUUAAUGCUUUUUAUAAUGUCAUGCAAAGCUUAAAUAGGUUGAUGUGUUUCAGUCACUUGAUUAAACUGAUCCUCUGUUGUGUAUAUAACGCUUAAACGUUUAUCCUAUUUACAUGUAAAAUUCAAGCAGAAUAAAAAUGUUGUUCUUUGGCAUGCUGUUGGAGAUCGCAAAUGCAUGGUGUUAUACUUAAAAUGUAAACAGGAAAAUGAAACCACUAGGAUAUUGUUCAACUUGAUCAUUUCUUUCCAAAAAAUUCAACAGUUUAAGAACAACAAUUUCGAGCUGUUCCCUUAUGUAUAAUUUGUAUCAUUAUUAUUAUCAUUAUUUGGCAAGUUUAUCGUUAUACUUAUAUGAUUACUAUCAUCAUUAUUCUUAGUAUCCUCAUUCUGUAUCAUAUCGUUUCGAUUUCAAUUUUUCGAAUAUAUCUUUAUUUUCUCAAUGUCAUCCCAAUCGUGUCUAACCAAUUCUUAUUUACAAAUUUACUAAUGACAUCUUAAAGGGACACACUCUACGAGAUGUAUAAAAAUCUAAAGUACGAUUAUUUUUUUCAAUCAAUUAUGAAAGUAAAAUAGUGAAAUAAUAAUUCGCUUUUAGCAGCCAAAAUGGUUUAAUUUUGUCAAAUUAAGCUAAAUAAUAUUGAUAAUGAAUUAUUCACUUGCAAGUGAAUAAGUCGACCUCAUUAAAUCCGUAUUCAUGUGAACUUCAAUUUAACCCCUUUACUAGAGAUGGAUAACGCAUGCUUUGUACGUGUACUGUUUAUUUAAUGGAAAGGAAUGUCAACAUUGAAAGAGAAACAAAGGUAAAUCAUUUGAUGACUGUCAUGUAUUGGUCUUACGUUGUAUUGGUUUAUCAGAUGUAUCUGUAUGUUGUACUCUCUUAUGUGAAGUCAUUAAACAUAUCUACCAUGCUGAACUGAGUUAUAUGAUAAUGACUGAUUCGAUCCACUAAAAAUAUUUCUUAUACAUGUAAAAACAUUGAGAAACAUAUAUUUUUAAUCUAUAAAAUUAAAUUAAACAGACCUAAAAAAAAAUCCAACUGCACGUGUUGGCUUAAUGUAUUUAUAUCUAAUCAUUAGUAUAUUUAUGUUCACAUCGCUAAUAUGGUCAUCUGAGGUCAACUCGAUAUUUAAUUAGAGGAGUCUAGACUAAAAUAUACACGAAACGAAACUACAUAUUAUUGACCCUAUACUCUGUAAACUGUUUACUUCACACUUUUGAUAUUUGCAUAAAUGUUUUACAUUGUUAUAAACUAAAUACGAGAAUUUGAGUCGAAUCGAUGACCAUGAAUUUGACAGUUAGUGCCCCUUUAAGCUCUUUUAUCAUUAAAACUAAACAGAAAAAUAUGAAUUUGAUGAUUUUCCCAUUUUUUCCCUAUUCUUUAUGAUAUGUUACAUAAUUUUAAUCAAUACGAGUUUAAUACUACUGAAGAGGUUCAUAGGACAUAUGCCAUCUGAUUACAAUCUUAAAAAGGUCAUUCUAAAUUUAAAUACUGUGGAGUGUGUUUUUUAUGCCCACCUAUUCGAGGAUUAAUAUUGCUUUUAAGAUAAUGUCCUUAAAAUGUAUAGCACAAGUCUUUACAAUAUUUUUAAAUUUCAAUAAUUAAGCACAACGGAAGUUUUAAUUUGUUCUUUUCGAGAAACAAAUGAACAGCCUACGCAAAUAUAAUGUAAGGCAACCCAAUAGACAAUGUAUUAAUUUUGUCAAACGAGUAUGAAACUGCACAAGUUAAGGAAAUAAAUCGCUUGUCAUUUGCUGUUUCGCCAAUGCAAAUGUACUAAUAAGUCUUCUGUAUUCCAAACUAUAUGUUUUUCUGACAAAUGUUAAUAUAGAAAAGUGCUUUAAAUGCAACUAUUUGCGUACUUUUCUCCUGGCUUUGUAAAUGAUUCACGACAAAUAUCAAUAUUUCACUGUAGUGCCAAUUUUCUAAAUAUUUUCUAUUAUAUUUUCGUAUUCCAUUUCACUAAUAUUAUAUUUAUGCAAGUAAGUCUGAAUAAAAAUCAGGCAAGAUAAAGACGAGCUUUGAUGCGGUUAAUAGAGCAGAGGUAAGAUGGGCUAAGUAAAUAAAGAAGAUACGAUGAAAAAUGUGAAGAAAAAGACAAAAUAGAAGUAAUGGAAAACUAACGUAUAAUAUGUGAAUAUUGGACAAAUAUUAAGAAUUGCACAAAAUGGCAAAAGAUAACGGAUACAAGAAUUGAAGAUCCCAUACCCAUCAUUCAGACCCUCACAAAAGAUUUACAAACCUUAAUAUCGUAUAUAAUCUAUCGUGUUUGCAAAAAGUCACGCGUCAACCAAAAUGAUAUUUUUUUUACUUCUUUUUAAUCAUCAGCAGACGGAUGUAUUCAUUUUAUAUUCUUUAUUCCGUUUCGUUUUUUUACUAUAAUGAAAAGGUGUUGACCGAAGCACAUUUCAAAUAAAUAUGCUUUUCUACCUCAGGAAUAGAUUACCUUAGCUGGAUUUGGCAAAACUUUUAAGAUUUUUGGGCCUCAACGCUCUUCAAGAACGUACUUUAUUUGGCUUUUUGACUUUUUUUUUAUUCAAGCGUCACUGCUGAGUCUUUUGUCUGGCAUAAAUAUAAAACUUCAAUUCUGGUUUCUAUGAUGAGUUUAAUAUAAAAAUGCAUCUUAUAAAAACAAAGGUGAUCACAGGCAAAGCUUCUCAGAACCAAUACAUGUAUUUAAAAACUGUUCUGUAUGUGUCUUCGUCAAAUUCACUAUUAAGGGUAGUUUUCUUUCGGCUAUGUUUUAUUAUUUUUUUGUUUUCUUGAAUUUUUUAGCCGGUUGUGUUAUGUUGUUCAGUAUAUUGUUACUUACAGUUUUGGGAUACUGAACCAAUUUAUUCACACAAUCAAUCUGUUAUUUCUGUUUAGGUUACGCAUAUACACUUCAAUUUAAAGAAAGUAUAGACAACUGACAUUCAAGUGGUAGGUCAAUAAACAUACCAAGUCAUAAAUAUUAAAAUUAUCCGUUCUGUUGAAUUGGUUGAUACCGUUUGAUUAUAUAUUUGUUAUGGACUUUAAAUAUUUUGAUUUACCCUGGAGUUUCGUAUUUUUAUUUCAAUUCUUUUUUUUAUUCUGAUAAAAACUUUAAGAGACGCCCAAUUUUUAUUAUAACCAUAAUAACAUGUGUAUGCUAAAUAAGCAGGAAAAUGAGAUUAUGAAGUUAUUUUACCGAUGUUUAAAUAUAUCUUUCUAUGAACGAUGUCUGGAUAUCACAAGCUUUCCAUAAAAUGUUUACGUCAUAAUACACAAUUAUCUAAUGCCACAAUGUAAGAGUGAUUGUUGUAUGAGGUCAAUAGUCAAAAUGUCACAGAUCAUCGGGUAUACCAUUGCAUUAUUCCCAAUAACUAUAAGAUGUAUAUGUGGUAAAUGGAUCAGGAAGACUUUUAACAAACAAAAUCUGAAUGAAUACCAUGAUUCUAAGUAUACUUAAAGUCGAAUGUUUUGUCGUUGUGUCAUUGCAAUGAUGAGCACUUGUUGACAUGUAUACUACAACAUUUGUUUUUGACGCGUUAGGAAUGUCAAUGAUCGAUGCAAUUGUCAGAAUUGUAACCAAAUAUAGGUACAUUGAGAUUAAAUGUAACCUUCAGACAUAAUAAUACCAAUGUCUAGUACAAACCCAUAAGUCUUUUGAAAAAGAGAUGAAUCGCGUCUUAAAAACUCAAAAUCAUCUCUAAGUAUUCGUUUUUUUUUAAUACAAUUUAACGGAAACAAUCAAUCCAUAAUCUGCCUUCACCAUUUCGUUUCUCCAAAUACUUCAGUCUUAGAUGCAUGAUUUUGUUAUUAGUUGUUAAUAGCUUUGAACUAGCUGUUAGUAACUGUGAGUACUCUCAGAUCUGUGUCUUUUUGUUGUUUAGUUGUACCCGUCUACGUCCACUUGUAUUUGUAUUUCUAUAUAUCUGAUGAGUUAAGCCUUUUUAUCAACUGAUUUGUAAAGUUCGUUCUUAUGUUGUACUGUUACACCAUUGUUCCAGUUUAGGGAGAUGGUUGAACUCCCGCUAAUAUGUUUUACCCCGCCACAAUCUCUGUGUAAGUGGCUGUCCCAAGCAGCGAAGAGCCUGUAAUUCAGUGGUUGUCAUUUGUUGAUUUGUUACAUAUUUGUUUUUCGUUCAUUUUUUGUACAUAAACUAGGCCGUUAGUUUUCUCGUUUGAACUGUUUUACAUUGUCAUUUCGGGGCCUUUUAUAGCUGACUAUGCGGUAUAGACUUUACUCAUUGUUGAAGGCAGACAGUAAACUACAGUUGUUAAUUUCUGUGUCAUUUUGGUCUCUUGUGGAGAGUUGUCUCAUUGGCAACCACACCACAUCUUCUAUUUUGUAUUAACAUUAAGAACUUACGACAACAGUUGAAUAUGUAAAGGUUAUUAAAUACAUCUCUUAACCAUGUGAAAAUUGAAAAUGAAAAUAGGGAAUAUGUCAAAGAGACAACAAUCCGCCCAAAUAGCAGAUAUUAACAGAAGGCCACUAAUCGGCCUCCAAUGCAGAGAGAAAAUCCCGCACCCGGAGUUUGGUCUCAAUCAUGUUUUACUUAGGUAUUUAAAUCUUCUUGUGUAUUUCAUUCAUUUAAAAUUUGAAACUAGUGGAAUCAUGUACAGAGUUUUUCAAUCGAUCUAUUUCUAAAAUUACGCAUUCUUGAAAAAAGAAUGUAUAUUUAUUUACUUUUGGAGUACAUUAAUUGCGUUUUUGGUUAUAAAGACUUUUGUGGUUUACAAAUUGUGACUUGUAUGGAAUUAUGUCUCAUUGGAAUUCAUACUUGAUUUGAUUCACAAAAUUGAUAUCAGUAUCGUGUUGUUUUUUGUUUAUUUUAAUGCGAAAUACACCAUUAGAAGCUUCAGAAUAAAUUAUGUCAAUUUGAAUCAAAAUUGUAACAAUUGCAAUAGAGUUGAUGAGAAUCGAUAUGUUUUUGUUUUUAUCAUGAAUUGAUAAAAAAAAAACAGGACUGUGGUAAUAAUAAAAAAAACAUAUGAAACUUUUAAUUAUAUUUUUGCACAUAAACAAUAUCGGUCUCUUUCAAAAGGUUUUGAAAAACAAUUACCACGAUACGACCAUUAAAGCUAAUAAGUCAAAAAGGCCUUAUACACACACAGUCUAUCAUGUAUAUAUAGCAUUUAGAAUUUCAAUACAAAUUCAAAUUCAAACAUGUUUAAUGAUUUUAUUUCUUUUGACAUUGUAAGCUCUCAAAUUGCCUGUAAGAAUAGCUACAUUCAUCAAACUGAGUUCAAUAUAACAGAUAUUUAUUAAUCGGUGAAAAUGUCUGGAAAAUCAAAAAUAUUAUUGAAACGUUUGUUAGAAAAGACACUAAGAUAACAUUACAUGCACAAUACUCAAACGUUGAGUAUGCCAGCGGUUGUUGAAGUGAUUAGAUGUUUCAAAAUCUAAAGGGGCAUGGCUCGUACCGAACAUCAGAUUCUUCAACGUCGAUUGGCAAACAAGAUGGUAAGCUGCAUCUUUUCAAAACAUUAUUUAGGAAAGUUGAUCAUGCAAAUACAUGUUAUGAAUUUUGAAUCAAAUUAUGUAACAAAUGCCAUUCAUUUACUAUCAAUAUUAGUAAACGCCCGUUGUUGUUGACUUCAUUCCGUCUGGUAUUUUUAAAAAAGUUAUAAAAGACCUGGGAAUAUGCUACAUAUGCCCUCUUGUUUAGAACAGGUAUAAAUGUACAUUGGUGUUUGAUGAUGUGUUAUGAUAUACUAGAUAAUAUAUAAAGUCAGAAUGUCAAAAUUAAUCUGUUCAAAUAUGUACGUCAAUAUUACAAGUGAUAAUCAUACAUAGUUAUUUAUUAUACAAUAAUCAGCUGAUCUUUAAUUAUCUAAAUUAUUAGAACAUGGAUAUGUAUGUGAGAUGAAAGAGAUAUCAAUGAAUUUAUCAUAACCCAGCGACAUAAACAAAUCCCAAAGGAAUUUGUUUCCUUUGAUUCAAAUUUUAUAACUAAUAAACUUCUUUUUUGUAUAUAUAUUUUACUAUCGUUUUUUUUUUAACAAUUUACAGUGUUAUUUAAACAGAAAUGUUGUAUUUCAAUAAUGAAAUGUGUUAAAACCAAGCCUGCAAAUAGUGUUCGCAGUUAUACUUAUGUCCAGUACGGUUCUAGUGUUUCAAAACUUAUUGUGGUCUCAGUUGAACCUGAUGAAAGAUCAUACAGAAACAGGACUACAUCAUUAGUUCACGUAGCUAUUUCAUUUUAAAAUGGCAUCAUAUUAAUAGUAUCUUUCUGAUAUAGAAUUUAAAGAUAAAAGUUGAAAAACGUGUAUAAUUAUCAAUUUAGCAAGUUGCAAAAGUUUUGCUUAAUUUUUUUUUUUUUUGUGCAUUUUAUGUUCAAUCAUGUUUUAUUUGAAAUAAAUUCACGCAAAAGAGCAUAUUUUUACCCACUCAUUACAUUAUAUGCAAAAUUGAAUAAUGAAAUUGGUUGUUUUCAAAAUCAUGGCAGCGAGUUUAUUUUAUGUAGGAAGCUGCAGUUGAAUUAAGCCAAAAAAAAACUUCGGACUCUUAAUAUAUUCUUCGGUGUCGAACGCACUGUAACAUGCACGGUAUUCGAACUCACAACUUGAUUGUUGACAAUCUACUGAUCAGUAGAUGAACUGCUUAGACCACUUGGCCAUCGGGGCCCGUAACAAAGUUAAGAAAGCAUUAAAACAUCAAAUCAUAAAACACAAAAGGAAUUACAGGAAUAAUCAGAUCUGUUUCACUGUACAACAGACUACAGCGACAUCUAGCUGCACCAGUCAAACGACUGACUUAGAAAAGACAAACAACAACAGAAAACACUAAACAUUUCAAUGUUAACACAAUUCACCCCUUUUACUAUAUAUGCCAAACUUAUGCUGUAAAAUUACACACACUAUAACAAAUCCGACAGGCAGCUACUACAUUCUUAGAACACCACAAUGAAUCAGGAUGUAAAGGAGGACAUUUAUCACAUAUUAUCCACAAAGAUGUAUCCAAGCUGUUGAAUUCCUAGUUCCACAGCUAAAAUUUAACCUCCCGCAAAACAUUAAUAAAUACAUCUAUAUUUCCCUAUAUUACUGCAAUGUGGUUAGACAUCUUCUUUAUUCAAUAAUACCAGAAACACAAUAAUCAUAUCCAUUCGUUAUUCAUAUUAAAUAUCUUUUAACGAAACAAAUUACAUGUGUCUCAUUGAAAGGUUAUUACAUUGCUAUAUAAUGCAUUUAAAUGAGUAUAAAUGUGUAAUUGAUGCUGUUCACAAAAUGUUUAUUAUCAAUCCUUUUCACAUAGGAGUAAAGCAUUAUACAGGUAAGAAGUUUAUAGUAACAUAAAUAUAACUACUAUAUAUUAUAAAAUAAAAAUGUUGUCCUUAUAUAUACAUUUACAUUUUAUUGUGCUUUUAUUAACUUGUAAGAAUUACCCUUAACUUGAGACAAACAGGAAAAACAAAGCAUAUUUGGAAAUCAAAACAAACAAAAUUAAGAUGUUUUAUAUAAUACAUUUUAAUGUUCCUUUAUUAACUGGUAAAUACAUUUGUAAGUAAUAACUACUGUUAACUUGAGACAAACGGAAAUACAUGGGAAUAAUUAAUCUAAAUUGCCAGAACUCAAAACGUAGUAAACAAAUUCUCAUCACUCAUAAUGCUGUGCAUCAGUAGCCUGUUUUAUCUGAAAUACACACCAGUGGUCCAAUGCAUUCAUGUAGAUAAAUGUUUGUAAAGCAAAAGAAAAAAAAACCAACGCAAAACCCCAGAACAAACAGAAAAAGACCAAGUAUUUUAGGAAAUCAAAACGAAAACAAUUCUAUAUUCGAACAGCGGUGUACUACUGUUGCCUUUAUCUUUAUAAAUUUCGUGCAUAAGAAGCGCUUUUGUUGAUCUACAUAUGAAAGAUAUGUAUAUAUAAAUACGUAGCAGCGUUUGGAACUACAAGUAUCAUCAAAGGUGACAUUCUUAGAAAAGUCUUAAUUCAUCAAAGGUCAAUUCUGCCAGAAGGAGUUGGAACUUUAGUUGCCUAACAAUUUCAGGGGCAAUUUCAGAAACAUGUUAAAAUGUGUUUAUAUUCAAUAUAAUUAUUCGGCAUUGUAUAAAGACACUAGUGCCCUAUCAAAUAUAUUUGAAUGAGCUUGAGACAAAGCAUUUUUUACAUGUACUUUUUAAGUUUUUGUACCGUAAAGAAUAUUGUGAUAUGCCAGGUACUUAAUAUUUUGAAUGUUGGAUAUUAUCAGACUAAGUAUAUUUAAUAAAUUGAUUAUAUAUCUUUUCAAAUUAUGCUUUAAAAAGGAUAUUAUUUUUGUAUCUGCUACUAUGAUUCAGAUUGGUCAAAGGUCCAGGAUUUGAGAAAAAAAAUUAUAGAACGAAGUCUGAAAACUAAUUUCAGCGUCACUACUGGAAACAAAAUAGUUAUGUAAUAAAACAUAUCACUGCAAUAUAUGAGAAGUCAUUUAAGAACCUUGGAAAUGUUUUGGUAUUAAAAAUGUCAUAAAAAAGAUGUCAUGCGUAACAUUAUACUAAGAGUGAUCUAAUGGUACGUGUAUAAUAUGCACAUGUAUAUAACACAAAAAAAACAUUCUUAUCGGCAUUUAAUAUUUUUAAACCAAAACAAAACAUUCUAUAUUAAGUUUAUAUGUUUUUCUAACACAUUUACAUAAAACUGUUUAAAAGCAUAACGAUCAUGUACAGUGUACCACGUAAUUCGACUUUUAAGGUACAAAUAUAUUAUGAGGUUCGUGAAGUGAGUUUUGUAAAUGGCUGGGUUUUUUAUCCAUGAUUUAAAACUGACAAACAAGACAUUUCUUGAGUAAAUCAAUAUCGUUAAACCAGGCAGUAAAUAGUUUCGACACUAAUUGUGCAUAAUAAAAUAUAUCUCAGAGGUUUUAUGAUUUACAUCAUUUAGUUAUUGGUACAGCCAAAAAAAAAUUAGAAUUUUUUGCAGAUUCUUAAUUUUAUCAAUUAUAUUUCAAAUGAGAUAUAUAUUAAGAAAAAACAAUGAUAUAUGACACACUGUUUUGUCUCACUCCUUUUAACGGCCAUGUACCAUCGAUAAUAAAUUAUCACAUGAAAAAUGUGACUGUAUAAAAAGACAGUUGCUUGACUUUACUAUGUCUAGUACUUGUUUGUGUCUUAUUGUCUUUUUACCCAUAUCUUCUGUUCUUUCUUUGAAAUAUAUGUAUAUAAACUUGUGACACUUGAAGAAGGCCAUUUGUUGAGCCGAAAUAUUUGUCAGCACGAUUUAAUAACAACAUUUUCGUAUUAUAACAUCUUAUAUCAGUACCGUUGUGCAAAUCUUUAGACUGAUAUAAUUUUUUUCCUUAUCUGCAUAGUAUCGCUAUUCUAGACGAUCCGGUACAUAGUAAAUUUGCUGGUUGGUCGUUUUUAUAUACUUUUAUAUAUAUAUAUAUAUAUAUAUAUAAGAACCCACUUGUUUUAUGUAGAUAAAAUACCUUCAAGUCACAUAAAUUACUUUUAUUUGUCGUUUCUAAUACCAAUAACGUUUGAUUUUAUUAAUCCGGCUACAAUCCGUCACGUAUUAGAAUUGAAGAGCCCCGCUUGAUCUAAUUAUAAAUCUAUUGCACAGUUUUGUCAGUUGUGAACAACACGAUGAUGCGUAUUGAUGGCAUUUAAAGUUUCCUUCGGAAUAAUUUGUUAAGGAUGCUUACACUUCUAUAGUUUGUACUUGUUGGCUUUCCUAAUUAUGUCUUCUGUAUCAAUAUAUCCCGUGGUGUCAUUUUACUUGCUUAGACAAGUAACAUACUAGAUAUAUAUCAUAUCUAAACUCAGUAUAAAUUUAUCAAGAGAUUUAUAGAUAUGUAAUAGAUACACUGAGAAUAUAUUAACCAUGAAGAUAUGAAUGAAAGAUAUAUAAGGUGACCGUCAAUUGGACUGGACAAAAAUUAAAAGAUACAAAUUAGCUACCGAAAGGAUUUUAAAAUAUGUUAAUAAGUGUGCGAUGUAAAGUUGAGUCGUGAUUGAAUAUUACAGGUUCUAUAAAAGUAAAUCUAAGAUGUGGCCUUCUUACUCGAGAGUUACUGAUGAGACUUUCGUAGACAAAACUUAAUUCAUAUAUAUAUAUGAUGAGUUUAUUAAUUUCCUAUUGGUCAAUAUCACUGCGGGAGUGGGUAUCUCCGCUAGUGUCAGCACAUCUAAGUUGAGAUUAAUUAUAAUGUCUCUAUAGAACAAGGUUUAAUCCACCAUUUUCUACGUAAUAAAAUAUCUGCACCAAGUCAGAAGUAUGACAUUUGUUUGAGGUGUUUGAGCUUUUGAUUUUGCUAUUUGUGAAGGGACUUUCCGUUUUGAAUUUUUAUGGAAGAUCGGUAUUUAAGUUCUUUUUUCUUCUUUUCUUAUUGUCAUCAUUAUAAAAUUACAGUUGAAAAAAAAAUAAUAAAAGUUUCAACGGCUUGCUAUCGACAGGAUAAGAUUAGCUUAACUGUAUUUGGGUAAAAAAAUGUUCCUUAAUGUAGGAAUAUCAAUGCUCAAAAACAUAGUAGUUUAUUUUAUUGGCCUUUUCAUAUAUUCUUUAAUUCAGCUGGACUUAUGUGUCUUUUGUGUACGAAACUAGCGUCUGGCGUACAAAAUGUUAAGGCUUGUAUCUGGCAUGAGUUUAUUUGCACGUCUUGCAUUUCUUAUUAUGUCUGUAUCUAUAUAUCCUGUGGUGUAAUUUUACUUACAAAACAAGAUUUAAAACAAAUUAACAACUGCUCAUCCAAUCAAGUUGCUAGAAAUUCCCCUCAAAGUUUUUAAAGUGCAUACUGUUUCCGUGUACUUAGUUACUGCAUAAGUAACCGCAAGGUUUUUUAAUUGCAUUUUAAUCAGGAUAUUUUGAGAGCAAACAAGUACCACCGGCUGUAUUGGAACACAAUUUCGUGUCUCAAAUUAUUUAAUGAGCAUAUGUUAUUAGUUUUCACACCAUCAAUUUUGUAUAUCAAAACAUUAGCUAUUUAUAUAUUUGGUUAACAUAAAUACAUCUCAAAAUUUAGUAUAUCACAGUAGCGAAUUGAACGAUAUAUAACUGAUACACGUGAAUCUGUCUUUUAAACUUCAUUGUGCAUACUUUUUACAUGUGUCACAGAAAACUGUCAAAAUUAUCUAAACAUGAAUGACCAAAAGCGUACAAUUUUCGAGAUUUCAACAUCGAAAAUCUACUGUUCUAUCUUAUUGACUAAAAAUAAAAAAGUAAAUUAACUCACGUAUUUGUUAAAUUGGGAGUGAUGAAAACCCUUCUACAAACAGAGAAACAAACAAACAUGGAAAUAAUAACGUUGCAAUACAUCCGAGCAAAGUCACGUGUGUCUUGGUAUUGUGUUUUAAAGCAUUCUUGUUACUUCAGUUUAAGAAAGACAAAAAUAUAAAAUUAACUAAGUGAUAAACAAACACCGAAAGGAAAAUAAGUCUUUAUUAAUUUUUCCGUUCUCAAAAAGAGUUUUCCGGUUUAACAUUUACCAGAACAGUACUCAAACUCAAACAUUUGAAAGCCAAAUAUAUAAAAAUACUUAAAUGCAUAAUGAGCUGUAUGACAAAUUGGCCGUAUAAAAAUAAUAAUUUUUUUUUUUUUUUUUGGUUCUAAAACAUAUCUUAAGGUAUGAACGGGAAUUUUAUGGACAGUUAAUUAUAAAACGUAUUAUAAAGUGUAUUCCUAUGUAUUCCUUUAAGUGAUAUGUAAUUAUAUCGGUUUGUCUCUCGUAUUAAUCAAAUUCUUAACUGUUAGAUAGGGUUAAAUGUGAAUUGGAAUUAAUGCGAUUUUACUUUGUUUGUGUAGUUAUCUUACUACAAAUAGAACCAACAUGAACAAGAAAGCAUGGAUGAACUCGUAUGCAUUGAAAUAUUGAGCAGUGGCUUAAUUCCUAUAUAUGUGACUCCUUUCGAUCCAAACCGUAACACAAAUACAUCACCCGUCGAAUUGUUUAAUCAUCCAUUUUCUACAUUUGAAAUGCCUGUACCAAGUCAUGAAUAUGACAGUUGUUGUCCCUUCAUUUCAUGUGUUUCGUCAUUCGAUUUUGCCAUUUGAUUAGGGACUUUCCAUUUUGAAAUUUUCUCGGAGUUUAAUAUUUUUUUAUUUCACCUUUUAUUGCACACAACAAAUAAUUAUCAUGACUUCGUUAUCCUUGCAGAUUAAACAAACAGGUGAUUGUGGAUGAUAUGGAUGAAAACUCAUCAAAGAUACCAGGAUUAUAAUGAAACAAAUUCUUUCUCGCUCCAAUGUGUUGUUGCAACGGAAGUUGUUAUUAUCAAAUGAUUAAUUACACCGAUACCGAGUGAUAUUUAAUUUUGUCGUAUUGUAGGACUUAAAAUUGUUAAAUACAGAACUAAACCUUUGAUUGACAGCUAUUUGUGGAUCAAAUUGAUUUAAAAGUAAUACUUUAUUAUUUAAGCUUGGUAAACACGUGAUUUAUGGCCGUUUGUUACAUUUUAUAAAUACUUUUACUAUUUAAAAUGGCAUUUCAAUCACAACAAAGCGUAUUUUAGAGGUUUCCAACACAUAAAUAGUUUUUGAAAUGAUUUGAUUUGAUGACAACGUGGUGUUAAAUUUCGAAUAAAAAUACACGUAGCCUUAUAGAGCAAGAGUCAUCAUAGAUACUAGGUUUACAAUUCAGACGUGUUUUAACCUGCAUACAAUUGUGUGUGUAAAACACACAUUUUUAAAGAUAAAAAAAUUCACAUUUAGAACGAAUAACCUGCAUUUUUACUACAUAAAACUCAAAUGUGAUGUUCGAAUCAAAACAGCUGUAAUAUAACGAACUUGAAACUAUUGGAAAAAAAUUAAAAAACUAUUUGCUCAAAAGAAAGUUGAAUGAAAACAUUUUUUAUUAUACUACAACUUCUCUCGUUCAUAUAACAACAUCAAAAGGAAUUAAACUGCAGUAUAUUUACAGUUUGAAAUAAAAUGUUAUAAGUCAGUGAUUUCGAUCUUUAAGAGAUGACAAUUUUUGCCGGGUAAUUACGUAAAUACUGCACAAGUUAUUCAAUGUCAUAAUUCAGAUUUAUGUAAAUAUAUUAAUCUGCAUUUUUACUAGCUAAAUGCAAUCGAAGCAGCUAAAUAAAAAAAUAGUUUAUAGCAAUAUCUUGUGGCGUUUGAAGUACUAUUUUAUUAUAUAUAUUAUGUAAUAUAAAUGAUAUAAAUUACAUGAAGUAGAAAUAAUAAUGAUUACCAUGUUUGAUAUCAAGAAUAAUUAGUACGCCAUGUGUGUGUGUAGUAUAAUGGUAUAGAAAAAUGUGUCCUUUAGAAAUAACGAUGUGGUGAGAGUCUAUUAUACAAUUUCAUUUCUCUGUUUAUAUAGUCUUCAUGGGUGACAUGUUUUAUUUGUUAUCAUAUAGUUUAUAUUGUACUACGAUAACUUGAGAUUAAACAGUUGACGAAUUAAUCAUGAAUACAAUUCUAGCUAUAGUUAUUGUUUUCACUUUAUUGUUAUUAUCCUUCACACCAAUUUUAUUCAGUUUGUAAGAUUAUCGGUCCAAUUUACCGAUCGGUCUUUCCUAUUAAUUCUUAAUCCUGAUUUUUUCUUUUACUUUGUAUUUUGCUGGAACUAAUAAAUUACGUUCAUUAGUAUCGCACAUGAUAUGACAGGAAAAUUGACAAAGAUACAACAUGGUAGAACGUGAUAUUUGUAUUAGUUGGUUUUGGCUUUAAUCUAGUUACCAGUAAACGAAAAUACCCUAAGACAGGUUAUUUGUCUCUAUUGUAUUUAUGUAAGUUGUUUUUGUGGUUCGUGUCGUUUUGAUUUGACGUAACGAAACUGAUUUUUACCAUUUUUUUUAACAGAUCAGGUGAAGAGUUGAUCACUCACAAAAUGUUAAACACAGUUAUAAUUCUGUACAUGCAUCUGCCUGGUUAGCGCUAUAAAACCAGUCAGGAGUCUUUUAUUUAAUGGUUGUCGUUGGUUGGUCCUAACUAUAAGAAAAUAAAACGGGUUUUUUUUCAAAAAUAAUCUUUACCAAAUCUUUACAAAAAUAAAGAAUUUGAACAAUAAAAGAAUAUUUUAUUAUUUUUACAUAAUGUCUUAUGUGCCUAAUAUUUCAACUCAACAGUAAAUAAUUAUGAAUUGUUAUUGCUGGUACAAUUAAAUUAAUCAUGUUCUGAUGAUUAUGCAUGACCACAGUUUAGCUAUUUGAAGAAUAAAAAAAGCAAAGGAAACAACUUAUGUUAAAUAAAGGCAACAGUAGUAUACAGCUGUUCAAAACUCAUAAAACGAUAGAAAAAAACAAAUCCGGGUUAAACACUUAAACUAAGGGAAACGCAUCAUAUAUAAAAGGAGAACAACGACACAACAGAAACACAACAUUAAAAUGUAACACACUCAGAAACGAACGAGACAAAAUCCGAUGAGAAUAACAAAUACAUGACUUAGGAUAGAAAAGUACCGGGACACGUUAAGAAUGAGUAUUCUCAGAAUCAAGCCAGUUAUUAGACUGGCAAUGUAAACUCAUUCUAUACCACUGGAAUAUGUUACUAAUAAGAGUUCAAAUCUUCUUAUGUUGAUCAAGAAUUUGGUUUGGAUUUUCUAUGGUAAAUGUAUGAUGCUUAUAUAAUAUUGUAUAACAUGACCAGGUGUUCAUUCCAUUGUUGUGUGCAUAUUCUUGAUCUACGGAACUAUGGAAUCAACCACAAAAAAAGGAUUUACAAAUAAUUGACUUUAGAAUGACAAACCGUCAGCUGAAAUGCAAUAACUUAGUACUUGUAUAUAUUCAUAUCAUACAAAUUACUAAUAGAUAUUUCUUACUUCUUUUUCAGUGGGUAAUUUACCAUACAACUGAUUACGCCGAGGGCGGAAUAAAUACAAAUAAUUAUUCAUAGGACCAUAUCCCCUUAAAGCACUAGAACUAUUCAAUAUAACUGAUUCUCCAAUUUACUGGAAGUAUAUUACUGUUGAUAUACUCCAAGGAAGAGUUUAUGUAUUAUAUAUUAUAUACGUAUGGCUACGUACAGUCAUUUACAAAUACACAGAAAUGAAUAGCUUGAUUUCUCGUGCGAAUUCAGAUGGUAUGCAUGUCAUGUUAAGUGAGUUUUUAUAAAAGGAUUAAGUAUUAUUUAGUGUGGAUAUAUACGACGUUAUGACAACUUUAUGCUAGGUUUUACAUAGAGGUGAAGGAACCAUACAAUAUCCGUACCAGUUUUAAAUAUCCGGGUCUUAAGGGAUUACAAUGCAAUCAUGAUAUAUGGAAAUUUAUGUUUUUGAUUUGGAAACCAUAGAUAUUCUAUAAACUUUGU
RNAcentral lists this long non-coding RNA (16202 nucleotides) under Mytilus galloprovincialis (Mediterranean mussel). Lineage: Eukaryota; Metazoa; Mollusca; Bivalvia; Mytilida; Mytilidae. The record is from RNAcentral.